CAAGUUGCGCAGUGACAGUAUCAUAGCCACUGAGGUUAAUCCGAGGCAUGAUUAUUGCUAAUUGAAACU
This 69-nucleotide small nuclear RNA is filed under the name Alligator mississippiensis (American alligator). Its description in RNAcentral is "U4 spliceosomal RNA". It matches the Rfam family "U4 spliceosomal RNA", at positions 5 to 69 of the family's 138-position model. From Rfam's summary of the family: U4 small nuclear RNA (U4 snRNA) is a component of the major U2-dependent spliceosome. The structure of U4 snRNA from yeast and human has been reported. U4 snRNA presents a k-turn RNA motif in the 5p-SL related to recognition of Snu13 protein. Lineage: Eukaryota; Metazoa; Chordata; Crocodylia; Alligatoridae. The record is from Rfam by way of RNAcentral.